UGGGGAAUCUUCCACAAUGGGCGCAAGCCUGAUGCAGCAAUGCCGCGUGUGUGAAGAAGGCCUUCGGGUUGUAAAGCACUUUCAGCGGGGAGGAAGGCGGAGAGGUUAAUAACCUCAUCGAUUGACGUUAACCGCACAAGAAGCACCCGCCAACCCCCUGCCAGCAGCCGCGGUAAUACGGAGGGUGCAAGCGUUAAUCGGAAUUACUGGGCGUAAAGCGCACGCAGGCGGUCUGUUAAGUCGGAUGUGAAAGCCCCCGGCUCAACCUGGGAAGUGCAUUGGAAACUGGCAGGCUAGAGUGCUGUAGAGGGGGGUAGAAUUCCAGGUGUAGCGGUGAAAUGCGUAGAGAUCUGGAGGAAUACCGGUGGCGAAGGCGGCCCCCUGGACAGAGACUGACGCUCAGGUGCGAAAGCGUGGGGAGCAAACAGG
This 429-nucleotide ribosomal RNA is filed under the name Chloroflexota bacterium. Its description in RNAcentral is "Chloroflexi bacterium partial 16S ribosomal RNA". It matches the Rfam family "Bacterial small subunit ribosomal RNA", at positions 355 to 776 of the family's 1533-position model. The record is from RNAcentral. Lineage: Bacteria; Bacillati; Chloroflexota.